AUACGUAGGUGCCAAGCGUUAUCCGGAUUUACUGGGCGUAAAGGGCGUGUAGGCGGUCUUGCAAGUCAGAAGUGAAAUUCCUGAGCUCAACUCGGGCGCUGCUUCUGAAACUGCAGGACUUGAGUGCUGGAGGGGAUAGCGGAAUUCCUAGUGGAGCGGUAAAAUGCGCAGAUAUUAGGAAGAACACCGGUGGCGAAGGCGGAUAUCAGGGCAGUAACUGACGCUGUGGGGCGAAAGCGUGGGGAGCAAACAGGAUGAGAUCCCCUGGUAGUCCACGCCGUAAACGAUGAAUACUAGGUGUAGGGGGUGUCGACUCCCUCUGUGCCGCAGUUAACACAAUAAGUAUUCCGCCUGGGGAGUACGGCCGCAAGGUUGAAACUCAAAUGAAAUGACGGGG
This 397-nucleotide ribosomal RNA is filed under the name uncultured bacterium. Its description in RNAcentral is "partial 16S ribosomal RNA". It matches the Rfam family "Bacterial small subunit ribosomal RNA", at positions 523 to 918 of the family's 1533-position model. The record is from RNAcentral.